This 100-nucleotide ribosomal RNA is filed under the name uncultured bacterium. RNAcentral describes it as "partial 16S ribosomal RNA". The record is from RNAcentral.
CAACGCCGCGUGGAGGAUGAAGUAUCUCGGUACCGUAAACUCCUUUCGAUGGGGAAGAUGAUGACGGUACCCAUAAGAAGAAGCCCGGCUAACUUCGUGC